AGCAGCCGCGGUAAUUCCAGCUCCAAUAGCGUAUAUUAAAGUUGUUGCAGUUAAAAAGCUCGUAGUUGAAUUUCGGGGUUUAUCCGUUGGUCGGGCUUUUUGGUCUGUACUGGCGUGAUGGAUUCCUACCUUCUGAAUAACCGGCAUGCCAUUAAUUUGGUGCGCCGGGGAAGCAGGACUGUUACCUUGAAAAAAUUAGAGUGCUUAAAGCAGGCUUAUGCCUGAAUACAUUAGCAUGGAAUAAUGAAAUAGGACGGCAUGGUUCUAUUUUGUUGGUUUCUAGGAUUGACGUAAUGAUUAAUAGGGAUAGUUGGGGGCAUUAGUAUUCAAUUGUCAGAGGUGAAAUUCUUGGAUUUAUUGAAGACUGACUACUGCGAAAGCAUUUGCCAAGGAUGUUUUCAUUAAUCAAGAACGAAAGUUAUGGGGGAUCAAGACGAUCAGAUACCGUCGUAGUCUUAACCAUAAACUAUGCCGACUAGGGAUCGGGUGAUGUUAAUUUUUU
This 502-nucleotide ribosomal RNA is filed under the name uncultured Acaulospora. RNAcentral describes it as "SSU rRNA". It matches the Rfam family "Eukaryotic small subunit ribosomal RNA", at positions 569 to 1072 of the family's 1831-position model. Lineage: Eukaryota; Fungi; Glomeromycota; Glomeromycetes; Diversisporales; Acaulosporaceae. The record is from RNAcentral.